UUGGCCAGGCUGGUCUCGAACUCCUGACCUCAGGUGAUCUGCCUGCCUCGGCCUCCCAAAGUGCUGGGAUUACAGGCAUGAGCCACUGUAUCCGGCAGGGCAGGACUUUCGUAUUUCAGAUGUGAACACGAGCUUGGAUAGGAUUGGUGCUGGGAAGAGCAGAAGAGGAACCUGGGAAGGUGGACCAGUGCACUACGUGAAGGUGCUGUACAGGCAGGCUCAGAAGCUUAGACUUCCUUUUGUGGGUAAGAGGGAACUGCGGAAGGAUUACAAGCCAGGGUUAGAUCUGGAUUCUGAAAACAAUCUGGGAGGAUGUCUAGCAUAGCCAACAGCAUUAUUGCCCUCAUCAUUCAGUCAUUUGAUGGACUUGAACUAGCAUCCGCUCUGUGCCAGGCUCUUGUCUUGGGAAGGGUACCCGGAACAGCCUCUACCUGCCCUCAAGAUGCUCCUAAUCCAGCUUGGAAGACAGAUGUGUAUACAGACCACAGUCCAGUGUGUUCACUGACAUCCUGGGAAAUGCCAAAUUGACUCAGCACCAUUCACAGAGAAGACUGGUCUUUCCCACAGUAACUGCAGUGACGUCCGUGGUGUUCAUCAUGUGACUGAGGACGUGGCUUUGGUUCUGUGCUCUGUGUUCGUUUGCUUGGUCUGUUUCUCGUGGCACCAAUACUGUUGAUACCUGGUAGUGUAAACCUUCCGAUACUAUUCUUUAAGAUUGCUUUGGCUUUCUAGAUCCUUUGUAUUUCCAUAUAAGUUUUAGAAUUUGAUUGUCAGUGUUCACAAAUAAACCCUCAUGCUCACUGUUUAAA
Molecule: non-coding RNA, 809 nt
Organism: Macaca mulatta (Rhesus monkey)
Lineage: Eukaryota; Metazoa; Chordata; Mammalia; Primates; Cercopithecidae
Source: RefSeq, a predicted model, not a curated record